GACAGAGGGUGCAAACGUUGUUCGGAAUUACUGGGCGUAAAGCGCGUGUAGGCGGCUAUGUAAGUCGGGCGUGAAAUCCCACGGCUCAACCGUGGAAGUGCACCCGAAACUGCGUAGCUAGAGUCCUGGAGAGGAAGGUGGAAUGCUUGGUGUAGAGGUGAAAUUCGUAGAUAUCAAGCGGAACACCGGUGGCGAAGGCGGCCUUCUGGACAGUGACUGACGCUGAGACGGCGAAAAGCGUGGGGAGCAAACAGGG
RNAcentral lists this ribosomal RNA (256 nucleotides) under uncultured bacterium. RNAcentral's name for it is "partial 16S ribosomal RNA". It matches the Rfam family "Bacterial small subunit ribosomal RNA", at positions 524 to 777 of the family's 1533-position model. The record is from RNAcentral.